AAAAAAUUAUCGAAUGCCUACUGUGUGUUAAGGGUUGAGAGUACACUAUCUUGUUUGAUCCCUGUGAUACUGCUAUCAAAUAUUUAUUAUUAUUUUUCUUGAAAAUAGAAGGAAGCCAUUCUCAGAGUAGCUUAAACCAAAAUCUCACAAUAAGUAGAAUUCAAACUCAGAGCUGAUUGGAAGCCUCGUUCUAUUUAUUACAGUGUGUUGGCUAUAGUGUGAUGAAUUUCAUACAAGUGAAAUUUGAAAUUCGGGUAGGGCACCAUGAAGAAAUGUCUGGAAGACAGUUUAAGAAGGAUGAGAGUCAGAAAUAUAGAUUUGGGAAUGUGGUGGCUUGAUUGCUAUAACGACCCUGCUAUUGAUGUAGUUUGAUGGGGCCUUCCUGCAUUGAUCCAGGGCUUGUCCGUAUGGCUUGCUUUGCAGUGGGACAGCAGCACAUGUGAGGAGAGCAGAGGCUUGCAAUGUCGAAGAUGUGCAUUGAUUUUACUACCUGUGUGCUUUCAGAACCUUGUGCAGCUAGGGGAACAAACCCAGCCUAGGUGGGUAGGUGAUAAUGGAUACACAGCCUAGUUGCCUUUGUGGUCUCAGCUGACAGCCAGGCAACCCCCAGAAGCAAGGGUUCCCGGUGGGACUGGCAACUCCCUGCAAACGCAUGAGUAAGCCCAGCCCAGCCUACCAGAAGAAUUGCACAGUUGAUCCCAUUCAAUUUUUCUGACCCAUAGAAUUCUGAGCUAAAUAGAUGGUUAUUACUUUAAGCCACCAGGUUUUGGGGUGGUUUGUUAUGAAGCAAUAAGUCAUUGAUGCAGAAAGCCAUUGUAUGAAUGGAGUAGUUGCAGGCUUUGCAGAUUUGAGAGUGAAUGAAGUCACCAAAUAAGACAAAUGGAAAAGAACACUGGUGUGUCAGUGAUGAGUAGAAAGCUCAGCUAUUUUGCCAGGUGGUUUUAGAAAACAAAAAAAUCUUCAGAUUUCAGGAAAUGAGGACUGUCUCAUCAUCUGAUCAAGGAACAAGUGCAAGGAUAGGAAGAAUGUGCUCGGAAUAAGAUGGUUUACAUGAGUCUUUGUGCUUCUUCAGGAAUCAUCAGCUGAUUUCAGCAGGCCCUGUGGACCUUAUCACCUGGAGGGAGCUCUGUGUGCUAAAAAGGAAUGAAUAGAGUAAGAUGCCUCCCUCCACCAUCUAACAAAAAAGGGCAAUAACUGAAC
Long non-coding RNA from Cebus imitator (Panamanian white-faced capuchin), 1200 nucleotides. RefSeq lists it as uncharacterized. The transcript is spliced from 4 exons. The record is from RefSeq and is a predicted model, not a curated record. NCBI's taxonomy places the organism in Eukaryota, Metazoa, Chordata, Mammalia, Primates, Cebidae.